GCUCAGGAUGAACGCUAGCUACAGGCUUAACACAUGCAAGUCGAGGGGCAGCAUGGUCUUAGCUUGCUAAGGCCGAUGGCGACCGGCGCACGGGUGAGUAACACGUAUCCAACCUGCCUUAUACUCCCGGACAGCCUUCUGAAAGGAAGAUUAAUACGGGAUGGNAUCACGAGCCAGCAUUUUCUCGUGAUUAAAGAACUUCGGUAUAAGAUGGGGAUGCGUUCCAUUAGAUAGUAGGCGGGGUAACGGCCCACCUAGUCGACGAUGGAUAGGGGUUCUGAGAGGAAGGUCCCCCACAUUGGAACUGAGACACGGUCCAAACUCCUACGGGAGGCAGCAGUGAGGAAUAUUGGUCAAUGGGCGCGAGCCUGAACCAGCCAAGUAGCGUGAAGGAUGACUGCCCUACGGGUUGUAAACUUCUUUUAUAAAGGAAUAAAGUGAGGCACGUGUGCCUUUUUGUAUGUACUUUAUGAAUAAGGAUCGGCUAACUCCGUGCCAGCAGCCGCGGUAAUACGGAGGAUCCGAGCGUUAUCCGGAUUUAUUGGGUUUAAAGGGAGCGUAGAUGGGUUGUUAAGUCAGUUGUGAAAGUUUGCGGCUCAACCGUAAAAUUGCAAUUGAUACUGGCAGUCUUGAGUACAGUUGAGGUAGGCGGAAUUCGUGGUGUAGCGGUGAAAUGCUUAGAUAUCACGAAGAACUCCGAUUGCGAAGGCAGCUUACUAAACUGCCACUGACAUUGAUGCUCGAAAGUGUGGGUAUCAAACAGGAUUAGAUACCCUGGUAGUCCACACGGUAAACGAUGAAUACUCGCUGUUUGCGAUAUACUGCAAGCGGCCAAGCGAAAGCGUUAAGUAUUCCACCUGGGGAGUACGCCGGCAACGGUGAAACUCAAAGGAAUUGACGGGGGCCCGCACAAGCGGAGGAACAUGUGGUUUAAUUCGAUGAUACGCGAGGAACCUUACCCGGGCUUGAAUUGCACUCGAAUAUAGCGGAAACGUUAUAGCUAGCAAUAGCGAGUGUGAAGGUGCUGCAUGGUUGUCGUCAGCUCGUGCCGUGAGGUGUCGGCUUAAGUGCCAUAACGAGCGCAACCCUUGUCUAUAGUUACUAACAGGUGAUGCUGAGGACUCUAUGGAGACUGCCAUCGUAAGAUGUGAGGAAGGUGGGGAUGACGUCAAAUCAGCACGGCCCUUACGUCCGGGGCCACACACGUGUUACAAUGGGGGGUACAGAGGGCCGCUACCACGCAAGUGGAUGCCAAUCCCGAAAGCCUCUCUCAGUUCGGACUGGAGUCUGCAACCCGACUCCACGAAGCUGGAUUCGCUAGUAAUCGCGCAUCAGCCAUGGCGCGGUGAAUACGUUCCCGGGCCUUGUACACACCGCCCGUCAAGCCAUGGGAGCCGGGGGUACCUGAAGUGCGUAACCGCAAGGAGCGCCCUAGGGUAAAACUGGUGACUGGGGCUAAGUCGUAACAAGGUAGCCGUACCGGAAGGUGCGGCUG
RNAcentral lists this ribosomal RNA (1495 nucleotides) under Bacteroides sp. TP-5. Its description in RNAcentral is "16S ribosomal RNA". It matches the Rfam family "Bacterial small subunit ribosomal RNA". The record is from RNAcentral. Lineage: Bacteria; Pseudomonadati; Bacteroidota; Bacteroidia; Bacteroidales; Bacteroidaceae.